AACCUUAUGGACCUGCGGGCGUAUACCUGCGGAAGGAUCAUUACUGAGUCACGUGCUCAAACAACCCUUCUGUGGACCUGAAAUAAAACCGUUGCCUCGGCGGGCGGUCCCCCCCAAACCAACCCCACGUGGUGGGUUAGGGGAGACCAGACAGUCCGGUACGCUUAAGGCGUCCGGCGCCAGCCGCUGGCCCCAAACAAUUAAACUCUAGUAAUCUUUACCUCCUGAAUUUCAAUAUUU
This 240-nucleotide unclassified non-coding RNA is filed under the name soil metagenome. RNAcentral's name for it is "partial contains 5.8S ribosomal RNA, internal transcribed spacer 2, and large subunit ribosomal RNA". The record is from RNAcentral.